CCUACGGGAGGCAGCAGUGGGGAAUAUUGGGCAAUGGGCGCAAGCCUGACCCAGCAACGCCGCGUGAAGGAAGAAGGCUUUCGGGUUGUAAACUUCUUUUGUCAGGGAAGAGUAGAAGACGGUACCUGACGAAUAAGCCACGGCUAACUACGUGCCAGCAGCCGCGGUAAUACGUAGGUGGCAAGCGUUGUCCGGAUUUACUGGGUGUAAAGGGCGUGUAGCCGGGUUGACAAGUCAGAUGUGAAAUCCUGCGGCUUAACCGCAGAACUGCAUUUGAAACUAUUGAUCUUGAGUACUGGAGAGGCAGACGGAAUUCCUAGUGGAGCGGUGAAAUGCGUAGAUAUUAGGAGGAACACCAGUGGCGAAGGCGGUCUGCUGGACAGCAACUGACGGUGAGGCGCGAAAGCGUGGGGAGCAAACAGGAUUAGAUACCCCAGUAGUC
RNAcentral lists this ribosomal RNA (442 nucleotides) under uncultured bacterium. RNAcentral's name for it is "partial 16S ribosomal RNA". It matches the Rfam family "Bacterial small subunit ribosomal RNA", at positions 338 to 795 of the family's 1533-position model. The record is from RNAcentral.